GCGGGUAUAGUAUAGCGGACAUUAUAUCAGGUUUCCAACCUGAGGAUGGGGGUUCAAUUCCCCCUACCCGCUCCC
This 75-nucleotide transfer RNA is filed under the name Candidatus Falkowbacteria bacterium CG_4_9_14_3_um_filter_38_19. Its description in RNAcentral is "tRNA-Gly". It matches the Rfam family "tRNA". From Rfam's summary of the family: Transfer RNA (tRNA) molecules are approximately 80 nucleotides in length. Their secondary structure includes four short double-helical elements and three loops (D, anti-codon, and T loops). Lineage: Bacteria; Candidatus Falkowiibacteriota. RNAcentral also lists the same sequence under 1 other name. The record is from RNAcentral.